GAUGAAGAACGCAGCGAAAUGCGAUAAGUAAUGUGAAUUGCAGAAUUCAGUGAAUCAUCGAAUCUUUGAACGCACAUUGCGCCCCCUGGUAUUCCGGGGGGCAUGCCUGUUCGAGCGUCAUUUCACCACUCAAGCCUCGCUUGGUAUUGGGCAACGCGGUCCGCCGCGUGCCUCAAAUCGUCCGGCUGGGUCUUCUGUCCCCUAAGCGUUGUGGAAACUAUUCGCUAAAGGGUGUUCGGGAGGCUACGCCGUAAAACAACCCCAUUUCUAAGGUUGACCUCGGAUCAGGUAGGGAUACCCGCUGAACUUAAGCAUAUCAAUAAGCGGGAGGA
This 332-nucleotide unclassified non-coding RNA is filed under the name soil metagenome. RNAcentral describes it as "partial contains 5.8S ribosomal RNA, internal transcribed spacer 2, and large subunit ribosomal RNA". The stretch from base 1 to 120 matches the Rfam family "5.8S ribosomal RNA", at positions 35 to 154 of the family's 154-position model. The record is from RNAcentral.